RNAcentral lists this ribosomal RNA (170 nucleotides) under uncultured bacterium. RNAcentral's name for it is "partial 16S ribosomal RNA". It matches the Rfam family "Bacterial small subunit ribosomal RNA", at positions 338 to 524 of the family's 1533-position model. The record is from RNAcentral.
CCUACGGGAGGCAGCAGUGGGGAAUAUUGGACAAUGGGCGCAAGCCUGAUCCAGCCAUGCCGCGUGAGUGAUGAAGGCCUUAGGGUUGUAAAGCUCUUUCACCGGAGAAGAUAAUGACUGUAUCCGGAGAAGAAGCCCCGGCUAACUUUCGUGCCAGCAGCCGCGGUAAU